UGGGGAAUAUUGGACAAUGGGCGCAAGCCUGAUCCAGCCAUGCCGCGUGAGUGAUGAAGGCCCUAGGGUUGUAAAGCUCUUUCACCGGUGAAGAUAAUGACGGUAACCGGAGAAGAAGCCCCGGCUAACUUCGUGCCAGCAGCCGCGGUAAUACGAAGGGGGCUAGCGUUGUUCGGAUUUACUGGGCGUAAAGCGCACGUAGGCGGACUUUUAAGUCAGGGGUGAAAUCCCGAGGCUCAACCCCGGAACUGCCUUUGAUACUGGAAGUCUUGAGUAUGGUAGAGGUGAGUGGAAUUCCGAGUGUAGAGGUGAAAUUCGUAGAUAUUCGGAGGAACACCAGUGGCGAAGGCGGCUCACUGGACCAUUACUGACGCUGAGGUGCGAAAGCGUGGGGAGCAAACAGG
RNAcentral lists this ribosomal RNA (404 nucleotides) under Actinomycetes bacterium. RNAcentral describes it as "Actinobacteria bacterium partial 16S ribosomal RNA". It matches the Rfam family "Bacterial small subunit ribosomal RNA", at positions 355 to 776 of the family's 1533-position model. Lineage: Bacteria; Bacillati; Actinomycetota; Actinomycetes. The record is from RNAcentral.